AUUGAACGCUGGCGGCAGGCCUAACACAUGCAAGUCGAGCGGAUGAAGGGAGCUUGCUCCUGGAUUCAGCGGCGGACGGGUGAGUAAUGCCUAGGAAUCUGCCUGGUAGUGGGGGAUAACGUCCGGAAACGGGCGCUAAUACCGCAUACGUCCUGAGGGUGAAAGUGGGGGAUCUUCGGACCUCACGCUAUCAGAUGAGCCUAGGUCGGAUUAGCUAGUUGGUGGGGUAAAGGCCUACCAAGGCGACGAUCCGUAACUGGUCUGAGAGGAUGAUCAGCCACACUGGAACUGAGACACGGUCCAGACUCCUACGGGAGGCAGCAGUGGGGAAUAUUGGACAAUGGGCGAAAGCCUGAUCCAGCCAUGCCGCGUGUGUGAAGAAGGUCUUCGGAUUGUAAAGCACUUUAAGUUGGGAGGAAGGGCAGUAAGUUAAUACCUUGCUGUUUUGACGUUACCAACAGAAUAAGCACCGGCUAACUUCGUG
Molecule: ribosomal RNA, 484 nt
Filed under: uncultured bacterium
Lineage: Bacteria
Description: partial 16S ribosomal RNA
Rfam family: Bacterial small subunit ribosomal RNA
Source: RNAcentral